This 352-nucleotide unclassified non-coding RNA is filed under the name Hevea brasiliensis (rubber tree). The record is from RNAcentral. Lineage: Eukaryota; Viridiplantae; Streptophyta; Magnoliopsida; Malpighiales; Euphorbiaceae.
UCUUUUGGUCUAGAUGUUGAGGUAUGAACCUCAAUUAUAUAUUUUUAUAUUUAUGUAGCUACCUUAUUCAACUGGAAGUCAAUCAGCAUAUUUGGCUUAACCAAUUCAUACAUGAAAAGAAUUAUAAAAGCACGCCAGGAAUUAAUGUCAAAUUUAUAGAGGAAAAAAGGGGAAUCAAUAGGUGAAAACUGCAAAGUCUUCUGUUUGAACUUUGAGCGGACUUUUAUGUAUAUAUGUAUAUAUAUAGUUGCAUAUCAGUUAUUCAAAACAAGAGGGACAUUAUGCUUGCUGACUAAUGUGCAAUUCUUGUAUCAAGGUUUAUGAGGGCGGGGAGAAUUUCAGUGUUGGACAG